This 547-nucleotide ribosomal RNA is filed under the name uncultured archaeon. RNAcentral describes it as "bacterial SSU rRNA". It matches the Rfam family "Archaeal small subunit ribosomal RNA", at positions 325 to 871 of the family's 1478-position model. The record is from RNAcentral.
ACGGGGAGCAGCAGGCGCGAAACCUUUACACUGCACGACAGUGCGAUAGGGGGAUCCCAAGUGCACAGGCAUAGCGCCUGUGCUUUUCGGUACCGUAAGGUGGUACCAGAAUAAGGGCUGGGCAAGACCGGUGCCAGCCGCCGCGGUAAUACCGGCAGCCCAAGUGAUGGCCGAUCUUAUUGGGCCUAAAGCGUCCGUAGCUGGCCGCGCAAGUCCAUCGGGAAAUCCACCUGCUCAACAGGUGGGCGCCCGGUAGAAACUGCGUGGCUUGGGACCGGAAGGCGCGACGGGUACGUCCGGGGUAGGAGUGAAAUCCCGUAAUCCUGGACGGACCGCCGAAGGCGAAAGCACGUCGCGAGGACGGAUCCGACAGUGAGGGACGAAAGCCAGGGUCUCGAACCGGAUUAGAUACCCGGGUAGUCCUGGCCGUAAACAAUGUCUGCUAGGUGUGGCUCCCACUACGAGUGGGUGCUGUGCCGUAGGGAAGCCGCUAAGCAGACCGCCUGGGAAGUACGUCCGCAAGGAUGAAACUUAAAUGAAUUGACGG